Schistocerca piceifrons (Central American locust) is the source of this 756-nucleotide long non-coding RNA. RefSeq lists it as uncharacterized. The transcript has 3 exons. Lineage: Eukaryota; Metazoa; Arthropoda; Insecta; Orthoptera; Acrididae. The record is from RefSeq and is a predicted model, not a curated record.
AAGACGACGCCUUUACUCGGCUGAUCACCCGAGAAGAUUUCACGAAUGGAAUACGCCGAGAAAGUCUCAAAUCACAUUUGUUGCUAAAUUUCAUCUCCAUAUACUGCUUUUUGGUCGACCUCUUCAAACGCUCCAUGGACUUUCUGGUCUUCUGUCCCAUAGAGUACCCAUCAAACAAUUGUUGCAUUUUGAUAGUACUUACUUCAUACAUAACAUAUAUUUGAGUUACAAAUUUGUUGGAGGUAUGCCAACUCUGCCAUAUUGUUUUGUGCAACAAAAAGCAUCCAUCAAUCGCACAUACUGCACUAAUUGCAGGUGAAGUUGACAAAAAUUGACUUGGCUCCCAUUAACACACUGAAAGCCCCUGCUCCUGAAAGGCCUGUUCAGCUUAUCUCUCGCAAGUGCCAGACAGACAGGCAAGGCUGGUGUGGGUGUAAGUGAGCAGAGCUGUUCUGCACGAAACUGUGCCAGCAAUGUGAAUAGUCUUCUUGAGCACCAACAAGAAAGUUGAUGUACGAGACAAAGACAAACUGGAUGAGCAAUUCACACUACCACUGCUGAGUUGAACAACUAACACUUCAUUGCGGACGUUCCACAGUUGCUGACACUUUGCCUGGAACUUUCAUUGCCCAAGGUCCUUCACCUGGACCUUCUAGUGCCCAAGAAACACUGCCAGGCAAAGGAAGAUGGAGAACCAACUUGAAGUGAUGACCUAUCCUGGGCUCAACAUUCACUCAUUUCACGACGCAGGUACAC